CUCUGGCCCAGGGCAGAUUCAGAAAUGCUGUCCAAGAGCCAAGGCCUGGAAUUAGGGACCCUAAGGGCCCGCUUGGUGUUUUACUCCACUGUGGUUGAGCUGGUACCUAAGCUGCAAGACAAAGUCCCUUUUAUUCUUCUCUCUCCAUUUCUCAAGAAGAAGGAGGCUUUCCCCAUAUCUCCCACAACUCGGAAUGUGCUGGAUCAUACGGGAAUCCAGCAUGUCUCUGAGUCUCACUCAAAGCCUAUGGUGAGUGCUAUCUGGGUACCACUGCUGACUAUUCAGGGCCCAAAGGUUUUUUAGUCAGCUGUGGAUAAUUCUUGACAGGACUGGAUCCUUCCCUUCAAAAGAGCAGGUUCCCUUCUGCGCCAGUGUGUGCCUAGAAAUGUUGUACAGAAGCUAGGUUCUGGAAUGGAGGCCUCAUGACUCUGCCCAGUGCCCUAUCCUACUGUGGUGGAACUGGUAUCCAAGUUGCAAGACAAAGUUCUUUUUACUCUUCCCUCUCCUCUCAUUAAGCAGAAAGAAGUCUCUCCUGGAGCUGCAAGCUGCACUGCCGGGGGUUGGGGAGGGGUGAUGCAAGCAUUCCCUUGGCCACCCCGGCUGGUGUCUCACAAGGUUGCAUGCCACCAACAUCCGCUGGCUUUGAAUCCAACACAGCACCAGGACUUGCCCAGGAAUUGCAGUCCCUGUUGCCUUUCAAGUUUAUUUAGGACUUCAGAGUACUUUAACCCACAAUGGUGAGGCUUGCUGGAACUCAGGUUCCAACCACUGGGUUGGGCAAUUCCCCUCUGGCUAGGGCUGGUCUAACUUAUCCCUCUGUGGGUGCUGACUGAGUUCUGCCCACUAUUACUUUCUGCUGUGACAGGCAGCACUGAGUUCCAAUGUAAAAUUCCACAGUCACUGUGCUCCCCCUCCCCCAAGCACACAGAUUCUUUCUCCACCACAUGGCUGCUGCUGGGGGAUGGGGCAGGCGUGGUGUGGGCAAUUCAAGACUAUCUUUUCUAUCCUCUUCGGCACCUCUUUCAGUGAUAUGAAGUUAAAACCAGGGAGAAUGAUUGGUGAAGGCUUCUAUUUGGUCAACUUGCUCUGUCUUUAUAGCCAAUUUAUAUUGAUAAGAGUUUCUCUCUAGAUACCAUUUGCGGUAUUCCUGAGUCAGAAGAGAGGAAAGGUGAUACUGCCACCCCCUGGAGUCGUCUCUCAAGAGGACUUGAUCUCUGGCCUGUGAACUGCCCCACAUGUUUCUUCUGCACAUCCUGACUCCCAGGCCUGCACAGGGGACUUCUGCACAGGCCUGACUCCCAGGCCUGACAUUUUCUGGUCUGUCUUCGCCAUGGUCUGCUAUCAACUGCAGUUUUGAAUUCUGGUUUCUCUUAUUCUUUGUCUCUAGGCAAGUCAACAGGUUCAGCAGCCAGAGUCCUAUCCUGUACUUCUCUUCACGUUGCAGACAUCCACGAAAGAGUGAGACUGUUUUCGGUUGGAUUGAAGAGCAAAUGUGUGGAAGGCACCAAGGGUCUCACUCUGUCACCUAGGCUGCAGUGCAGUGGU
RNAcentral lists this long non-coding RNA (1545 nucleotides) under Homo sapiens (human). Its description in RNAcentral is "HSALNT0403491". Lineage: Eukaryota; Metazoa; Chordata; Mammalia; Primates; Hominidae. The record is from RNAcentral.